GACGAACGCUGGCGGCGUGCUUAACACAUGCAAGUCGAACGGAAAGGCCCUGCUUGCAGGGUACUCGAGUGGCGAACGGGUGAGUAACACAUGGGUGAGCUGCCCGGCACUUAGGGAUAAGCAUGGGAAACUGGGUAUAAUAACGGAUAGAUGAAAACUUUAAAGAGAAGGUUGGAAAGUGAAUGUCGGUGUAGCAUGAGUUCGAGGCCUAUCAGCUUGGUGGUGGGGUAAUGGCGUACCAAGGCGGCGACGGGUAGACGACCUUGGAGGGUGGACGGCCCCAUUGCGACUGAGAUACGGCCCAGACGCCUACGUGAGGCAGUAGUCGGGAAUCUUGCAGAAUGGGCGCAAGCCUGAUGCAGCGACUCCGCGUGCGGGAUGAUCGCCUUCGGGUUGUAAACGUCGUUCGCUAGGGACGACGCUUUUUGUGACGGUACCUAGAUAAGAAGCACCGGCUAACUACGUG
Molecule: ribosomal RNA, 466 nt
Filed under: uncultured bacterium
Lineage: Bacteria
Description: partial 16S ribosomal RNA
Rfam family: Bacterial small subunit ribosomal RNA
Source: RNAcentral